Molecule: long non-coding RNA, 618 nt
Organism: Lolium perenne
Lineage: Eukaryota; Viridiplantae; Streptophyta; Magnoliopsida; Poales; Poaceae
Source: RefSeq, a predicted model, not a curated record
CAUAAUCGAUCCCUGAAAUCCCGCGCAGUUUUCUCCCCCACAAACCCACAAAUCAAUCUGAUACCGUUGGGUUUUCUCCUCCACAAAUCAAACUGUGGCGGCUGAUCUAUUCUCUUUGUAUGGGUACUGGUCUGAUUUCAUCGAUGGUACGGCUCACCAGCGACAACAUCCACAAGUAUUGAUCAUACGUGAGCAUGCAUCCUCCACGCCAACCAAUCAGGUAGAUUCUAUCAACAUGAUUGAGACUACACUCUGCCUACAAAUCCUAGCCAAGUCAUCAAUGGAUUCCAUCCUGAUGGCAUAACUUAUAGUUGAGGAGGAGGACCACUAGCAGAACCAAGGGAUCUUGGGGCAUGAGUUUUGUCAAUCAAUGGCUAAGGAAUUUUGGACUGAUGUCAUGCGCCGAAGGGAAUGAAUCAAGUGUUUGUAACACAUUGUUGGUUAACAUACAAUAUCUUGUAGAAUGGAGCAAAUUUGUAACAUGCAUGAAACAUGUGGUAUGAAAGUGCGAAGCUGCCUUAAGGACCGUAAUCCUCACUUGAUGUUGAUUCUCUUAGGAUUAGGGCCACUAAGUAAAAUGGCUUGUCUUUAAAGAACACGGAAGCAUCUUCGCUCGUA